GUGCUCACUUUGGCAGCACAUAUGCUAAAAGUGGAAUGAUACAGAGAACAUUGGCAUGGGCCCUGGGCAAGGAUAUCUUACAAAUUUGUGAAGCAUUCCAAAUUUUU
Molecule: small nuclear RNA, 107 nt
Organism: Manis pentadactyla (Chinese pangolin)
Lineage: Eukaryota; Metazoa; Chordata; Mammalia; Pholidota; Manidae
Source: RefSeq, a predicted model, not a curated record